This 1397-nucleotide long non-coding RNA is filed under the name Homo sapiens (human). Its description in RNAcentral is "GRK3 antisense RNA 1, transcript variant 9 (GRK3-AS1)". Lineage: Eukaryota; Metazoa; Chordata; Mammalia; Primates; Hominidae. The record is from RNAcentral.
AGACCCUGGCUGGGGCGCUCGCUGCGCGCAGGGCGCCGCGCCGGGCACUUUGGAGCGCUCUCUCCCGGGGUGCCCCCCACCGGCCCUCCGAUGCCCCAUUUCAGAGACUGGAACGACGAGGCCGGCCCCGCAUCGCCCGCUCCGCUGUGUCACCCGCCCCGGGGCAGCGGAGGCUCAGCGCCCGACCCUCCAGGAAGCAGGGGGUAGCUGGCGGCCGCAGGGGGCGGCGGCUUGGGGCCGGCGCCGGCCGGGGCAGCUGGUACCUGGGCUCCGGCAGGACGAUCCUCUUGCUGGCGCGGGCGGCCGGGGUCGCCUUGCUCUUCUCCAUGGCCAUCAGCAGGUAAUGAUGAAACUCCUGCUCUGGUCCGGGCUACCGGUGAACAGCGCCCAGCGGGCCGGGCCCCCAACCUCGCUCCUGAGCCUGAACAUCCCCCCAACCCCACCGUGAGAAUUCAGCGAAGAGUAAAAGCUGGAAAAAGUUGCGUGUCUUAGGCUAAGCAGAACAAAGUGGGGUGACGGCUCCCCGGCUAGGAACAGAGAUGCCCUUAGGGAGCCCUCUGAUGGAAGAGCUCUCCGCUUAAGAAGGUCACCACUCCCUUACACUCAGCCCCCCUCAAUCUGAUUCCCUGCUAUGCCUGCCAUCACCACUGGCCAGUUUUACCACAUGCUUCUCAAGACCCAAGGCACAAUAGGCAUAAAGUUGUCCUGAAAAGGACAAGAGGAGUGUCAGAAGUAGGAAUGGCAGUUGAAGGAGCUUCGUCUGCCAGCAGAAAGCUGAAAUGACAGGAGAUGUUGCUGAGAUGGGUGCAUUAAAGUUUAGGCUUUCCAGAGUUUAUAUUGCUAACAACUUGAAAGGAAAAAAGCUAACUAGAGAACUGACUGGUCUUAUUUGUUUUAGAUUCUGGGCUUUACUAAGACUUCCUACUCUCAGAAUCUCUGGACUAUAAACGCUGGGUGGGGUGGGAGCUGGGAAUGUUAUUCUGGAAAAUUAAUCACAAAUGAAAAGAAAAUCAACUCUAAGACUCCAGUUAGAAGAUUUUUGAAAAUGGCAGAACAUGACUGGCCUUCAUUCAAGUCAGAAUAUUUAAAGCAAUCCUUGCUAAGAAGAACUUGAUUUUGUAUAAGCAGUCCCUUAAAUACAGUUGCUUCUCAAGAAAACCACACACAAUUGAUGUUUGAAUGGCUUUAUUUACAAACAUCUCACUCCGUAAGCCUCUGCAGGUAUUUCUAGCCUCCCAGGGGCCACUGUCCCGUUUCACCUGUAAUUUGGAUCACAAUUCUGUUUGUUGUCACACACAUCAUAUGAACUGCUUUUCAUGCUGCUUUUAUCCACAAAGCUUUACAAGCUUUAAUGGCAGCUCUAUGUAUGACAACUUUAUAAAGAUCUGCCAAAAGGU